GGAGAGACCAUUCCCAGGAAUUCCUGGGAGGCAUUUUCAGGGCUGAAUCUUGGUGUCUGGGAGGCUUUUAUGGAGUUGGGCAGGAGGAACCCCCAACACAAUGUGCUCAUCGCUUGUUUUUCCCCAAACCAGGAUUUCCCAAUCCUAUCCCUUGGCUCGAUGGAGGAGGAGGAGGCUAUGAGGAAGAGGAAGAUUCCCCAGGAGCCCCAGGAAGGGAGCAGAGGACAGAGACCAGGAAGGAUAAAUCCCUGUGCCAGAACGCCAUGGAAGAGGCCGUUUGGAGCGGCUCCACGGUGCAGGAAUCCAACGGGGAGAAAAAGCCCCAGAGAUCCCACACGAGGAGGGGCUGCAAAUGCAGAUCCCGGGGAUCCCAGAAGGAAAGACCCAGCCUGGGACAGGGAGGCUGCCAGAGCUCGAACCCAGGGGUCCAUGAGCAGCUUCACGAUGGGGAGAAGCCACACAAGUGCUUGAAAUGUGGGAAGAGCUUCAGGUGGAGAUCCUCCCUGAUUCACCACUGAAUAAUCCACACAGAGGAAUGGCCCUAUGAGUGUGGGCAGUGUGGGAAGAGCUUGAGAUGGAACUCUGAACUGACUGUCCACCAGAGGAGCCACACGGGGGAGAGGCCCUGUGAGUGUGGUAAAUGCAGGAAGAGGUUUCACACCAGCUCCACUCUCCUCAAGCACUAUUGGAUUCACACACAGGAGAGGCCCUUUCACUGCCCUGACUGCGGGAAGGGCUUCAAGCAAAACUGAACCCUCGUCAAGCACCGGCGCAUCUACACCAGGGAGUGGCCCUACGAGUGUCCCGAGUGCAGGAAGAGCUUCUCACCGAGCUCUAACUUGAGCCAACACCAACAGAGGCACCACCAAGGGAAGCCCUGCGAGUGCUCCAACUGCAGGAAGAGCUUCGUGCGCUGCUCCAGCUCCAUCCCCCAUGGCAGGAUCUGUGCUGGAUGAUCCCCAGUGACCCUCGGUGGGCAGAGCCCCGCUGAUACCUGGUGCCACUGAUUCAUGUCAAGAACACACCUGGGUGGGGGUUCCACAUCCUACUGGCUCCCUGUGGGCUGGAUUUUCUUUGCAUUUGUCUUUGUCCUUCCCAAACACCCAAAACCGGGGUACAAAUAAAGAUGUUGAACUAA
This is a long non-coding RNA of Catharus ustulatus (Swainson's thrush), 1138 nucleotides long. RefSeq lists it as uncharacterized. NCBI's taxonomy places the organism in Eukaryota, Metazoa, Chordata, Aves, Passeriformes, Turdidae. The transcript has 2 exons. The record is from RefSeq and is a predicted model, not a curated record.